GGCGUGCCUAAUACAUGCAAGUCGUGCGGACCUUGCGGGAGCUUGCUCCCAAGAAGUCAGCGGCGGACGGGUGAGUAACACGUGGGCAACCUGCCUGACAGACUGGGAUAACAUCCGGAAACGGAUGCUAAUACCGGAUAGGCAGCGAAGAGGCAUCUCUUUGCUGAGAAAGGCGCUACGGCGUCACUGUCAGAUGGGCCCGCGGCGCAUUAGCUAGUUGGUGAGGUAACGGCUCACCAAGGCGACGAUGCGUAGCCGACCUGAGAGGGUGACCGGCCACACUGGGACUGAGACACGGCCCAGACUCCUACGGGAGGCAGCAGUAGGGAAUCUUCCACAAUGGGCGAAAGCCUGAUGGAGCAACGCCGCGUGAGUGAUGAAGGCCUUCGGGUUGUAAAACUCUGUCUUUUGGGACGAGCGAGCAGGAAAGGGAAUGUUCCUGUUGUGACGGUACCAGAGGAGGAAGCCACGGCUAACUACGUG
RNAcentral lists this ribosomal RNA (483 nucleotides) under uncultured bacterium. RNAcentral describes it as "bacterial SSU rRNA". It matches the Rfam family "Bacterial small subunit ribosomal RNA", at positions 41 to 507 of the family's 1533-position model. The record is from RNAcentral.